This 253-nucleotide ribosomal RNA is filed under the name uncultured bacterium. RNAcentral describes it as "partial 16S ribosomal RNA". It matches the Rfam family "Bacterial small subunit ribosomal RNA", at positions 524 to 776 of the family's 1533-position model. The record is from RNAcentral.
UACGGAGGGGGCUAGCGUUGUUCGGAAUUACUGGGCGUAAAGCGCACGUAGGCGGACCAGCAAGUUAGGGGUGAAAUCCCGGGGCUCAACCCCGGAACUGCCUUUAAAACUGUUGGUCUGGAGGUCGAGAGAGGUGAGUGGAAUUCCGAGUGUAGAGGUGAAAUUCGUAGAUAUUCGGAGGAACACCAGUGGCGAAGGCGGCUCACUGGCCCGGUACUGACGCUGAGGCGCGAAAGCGUGGGGAGCAAACAGG